AACGAACGUUGGUGGGAUGUCUUAAACAUGCAAGUCGAGCGGCAGCACUACGGGUGGCGAGCGGCGAACUGGUGAGGAACACGUAGGUUAUCUGCCCCUUAGACUGGGAUAGCUCCUGGAAACAGGGAUUAAUACCGGAUAUGAGGCAACUUGAAAGCAGCGUUUGCUGCACUGAGGGAUGAGCCUGCGUCCCAUUAGCUUGUUGGUGGGGUAAUGGCCUACCAAGGCGACGAUGGGUAGCCGGCCUGAGAGGGUGAUCGGCCACAUCGGGACUGAGAUACGGCCCGG
This 288-nucleotide ribosomal RNA is filed under the name uncultured bacterium. RNAcentral's name for it is "partial 16S ribosomal RNA". It matches the Rfam family "Bacterial small subunit ribosomal RNA", at positions 29 to 334 of the family's 1533-position model. The record is from RNAcentral.